Molecule: ribosomal RNA, 824 nt
Filed under: uncultured eukaryote
Lineage: Eukaryota
Description: SSU rRNA
Rfam family: Eukaryotic small subunit ribosomal RNA
Source: RNAcentral
CGGUGUUUAACUGGCGUGAUGUGGGACGUCCUACCGGUGGGCUUAGCCUCGCGAGGGGCGGCCCAACUAAUAUCCCGUCGCGGUGCUCUUUACUGAGUGUCGAGUCGGGCCGGUACGUUUACUUUGAACAAAUUAGAGUGCUUAAAGCAGGCUAUCCUCGCCUGAAUACUGCGUGCAUGGAAUAAUGGAAUAGGACCUCGGUUCUAUUUUGUUGGUUUUCGGAACCCCGAGGUAAUGAUUAAUAGGGACAGAUGGGGGCAUUCGUAUUGCGACGUUAGAGGUGAAAUUCUUGGAUCGUCGCAAGACGGACAGAAGCGAAAGCAUUUGCCAAAAAUGUUUUCAUUAAUCAAGAACGAAAGUUAGAGGUUCGAAGGCGAUCAGAUACCGCCCUAGUUCUAACCAUAAACGAUGCCAGCUAGCGAUCCGCCGAAGUUCCUCCGAUGACUCGGCGGGCAGCUUCCGGGAAACCAAAGCUUUUGGGUUCCGGGGGGGAAGUAUGGUUGCAAAGCUGAAACUUAAAGGAAUUGACGGAAGGGCACCCACCAGGAGUGGGAGCCUGCGGCUUAAUUUGACUCAACACGGGAAACCUCACCAGGCCCAGACACCGGAAGGAUUGACAGAUUGAUAGCUCUUUCUUGAUUCGGUGGGUGGUGGUGCAUGGCCGUUCUUAGUUGGUGGAGCGAUUUGUCUGGUUAAUUCCGAUAACGAACGAGACUCUAGCCUGCUAAAUAGGCGUACCUUAUGGUAUCGCGAAGGCCCCCGGCUUCGGCCGGUGGGUUUUUACUACCAACGUACAAACAAAUCUUCUUAGAGGGCACAGGCGG